CUCAGAACAAGGACCUGGAAUUGAUGUACAGAUAAAUAGCAUCUUUGUUGAAGUGGAUGUCGCUUGAAUUCUUUGAAAAUCUUUGGAGAAAACAGAAAGAAACUGAAACGGCUGCCAAGUCAGAAAAAGAUGUCAGAUGGUAAAAGAAUUUCCAUUUGACUUUGCUACCACUAUCAAGCAUAAAUGAAUUAAACCAGAAAAUUCCCCAUGGCUUCUUCAGAAGACUCUAUUGCUCUGAAUAAGGAAUUCCACCAGCACUGGAAGAAAAACGCUGCCUCCCCCCCAAAUUUUUAGCUUUCAACACAUAACUGAAAAACUCCCAGAAAGCUGAUCUAUCCAAGUUAAUCAUCACGGAGGAAUUGCAGUCUCAUUGAGUACUAAAGCAAAUCUUUCUUCUAUGUGAGCCAAAGAAAAGAAAAAACAACCUGUCAAAUACCUAUAAAGAGAUGGCUAUCAUCAUAUGGAAAUGUGAAGAACUGCUAUGUGGCACAUUCAUGAUCUAAAUGGGAAAGAAUUAAGUGUCAUGAUGUUCCAGAAGGCCUUAUAACAGAGUAAACAAGGGGGAAAAUUGUAACAGCUUGUCACCUGUUCCUGCACACUAGACUUCAGUGUAGUUACUGUAAAAAAUAUCCACGGAAAAUAUGCAGACAGUUCUUUGAAAAGCCCCAAAAUUAUGUGUAGGGGCUAAGACCAAAGAAGGAAAAAAGAAGCUUUUUUAUACUCACUCUCCACAACCCAUUGAUAAGUCUAUUAGAAGAGUAGCAGUUGAAUGUGAAUUUAUGUUUUGAACCAUCAUUUGGCAGA
This 804-nucleotide long non-coding RNA is filed under the name Suricata suricatta (meerkat). Its description in RNAcentral is "lncRNA (ENSSSUG00005023081.1)". The record is from RNAcentral. Lineage: Eukaryota; Metazoa; Chordata; Mammalia; Carnivora; Herpestidae.